Molecule: ribosomal RNA, 448 nt
Filed under: uncultured bacterium
Lineage: Bacteria
Description: partial 16S ribosomal RNA
Rfam family: Bacterial small subunit ribosomal RNA
Source: RNAcentral
UCCAGACUCCUACGGGAGGCAGCAGUGGGGGAUAUUGCACAAUGGGGGAAACCCUGAUGCAGCGACGCCGCGUGGGUGAAGGAGUAUUUCGGUAUGUAAAGCCCUAUCGGCAGGGGAGAAGAAAGACGGUACCUGACUAAGAAGCCCCGGCUAACUACGUGCCAGCAGCCGCGGUAAUACGUAGGGGGCAAGCGUUAUCCGGAAUUACUGGGUGUAAAGGGAGCGCAGACGGCAGUGCAAGUCUGGAGUGAAAGCCCGUGGCUUAACUACGGGACUGCUCUGGAAACUGUGCAGCUAGAGUGCAGGAGAGGCAGGCGGAAUUCCUAGUGUAGCGGUGAAAUGCGUAGAUAUUAGGAGGAACACCGGUGGCGAAGGCGGCCUGCUGGACUGUAACUGACGUUGAGGCUCGAAAGCGUGGGGAGCAAACAGGAUUAGAUACCCGUGUAAC